Neofelis nebulosa (Clouded leopard) is the source of this 2622-nucleotide long non-coding RNA. RefSeq lists it as uncharacterized. The transcript is spliced from 5 exons. Lineage: Eukaryota; Metazoa; Chordata; Mammalia; Carnivora; Felidae. The record is from RefSeq and is a predicted model, not a curated record.
UGAAACCGCCAGGCAAGUUGGCCUGAAGAUCUGGCAUUCCCUGUUUCCUCAUUGAACCCCCCCCUUGGCCCGCGCGCCUUCUGCUCGCCUCCUGCGCGCUGCUGCCCGGGAGGGGAUCGGGGUAAUCGCCAAGACCAAGGUUUCCUUCUGCCUUGGGUUUAAUUGAAGGUGAGUGCAUCCAGUGGGUUCAAAAGUCAUCUGGGCCCCAAGUGUGGAGAGCAGAUCCUGGCCCAGGAGAUGACUUGAGCAGUCAGCUGUGACUUCUCUGUUCAUGAAAACCUUAUUGGCGACCUCUAUCAACUGAGUGAUAUUCAUCCCGGCAAAGCCCUCCAACUUCUGGAGUUUUCUUCUGAUAUCUGGGGAAGCCUGUGCCCCAAAGGAGGUUAAGGCUGCCAGGGGUUCAGCUCUGCUCACAUGGAUGGGACAGAGAUCCGACAGCAGAGGCCAGAGGACCUGGCUCUGCCACACGCCUUCAGCCCUGGAAGACUGGAGCCUCAGAUGAUGGACCUAUGAGUGUGUCUGAGAGCCACAGGGUGGUCCCUGAACCACUGGGGUUUGAGUUCAGCAGGGAGACUGCCUUGUCCCUUGGCCUUCAGGUGAUGGUGCCCUUCAUGUUUGCAGGACCGGGACUGUCCGGGGCUGGUGUGCUUUUGAACUAUUUCCAGAAUUGAGGAGACCUGGAAAGAUGGCAGCUUAGGAGGACACUGGGCUCACCUCGUCCUGUUGAUCACUUAGAUUCCACCCGCAUCUGCCUGAUAACCCAGAAAACUGUCAGAAGACUAGCAGAACGGACUCUCCGGAGGCAAGUGUAGACAAGAGGCCCAUGGAAGAGGGUAGGAAGGGUGGAGAGGCAGUGCCUGCUACACGGACUGGUGGGAGGGAGCCGAGGUCGUGGAGGGGCAGCCCGCUGGGCAAGGCAGAGCCCCUUGCAAAAGCAGAGGGGCCAGACUCCAUGGGUUCUGACAGCCAGUGGGACUUAACAUCUGGAAUGUUAAAAGUAAACAACUCUGCUCUUGGAGAGCAGGGAGGGCAAGAGGAUGCCAGGAGGGAAAGUUGUUGAGCCCCCGAAGACAGAGUUCAGCUCAGUGGGGGAACAAAGGUGCUGGCAAGCACCAUCUCCCUCUCCCAUCCCCCAGCCAAAAUUCCAAAGGGAGCCGGUUACCAUCACCGAACUUGCUUGCACCACACAAACGCCCAAUGCUGUGCUUCUGUGGAUCCAUCCUUCCAAUGGGUCUGCCUCCCUCCCGGUGCUGCAGCGCCCCUCCCACAAGCGACCACUGAUGGCAAAGCGAGCUAAGCCUGCCACUCCCACCCCUGUGCACCUUGCGGAUCAACCCCAGCUAAUAUGCCAUAUUCCAUCCAAGCAACACCACAAGCCUGGCAGUGUGCAAGUAGACCAGACAGGGGCCACACCACUCCACAGUUAGUCCUGCCCCUGGGGGAGGGGAAGAUAAGGUACACACCAGUCUGACUGUGGCCCCAGUGGUGUGCUGGGGACAGACAUCAGGUCUGACUGUGGCCUGCCCACCAACACAAGUAACUCCAGACAGCACAGGGGAAGUGUCCUGCAGUUUGGAGCCACUGGAGGAACUACCCAAAAUGACAAAAUGGAAGAAUUCUCCUCAAAAGAAACUCCAGGAAGUAGUGACAGUUAACAAAUUGAUCAAAAACAAUUUAAGCAAUAUAACAGAACAAGAAUUUAGAAUAAUAGUCAUAAAAUUAAUUGCUGGGCUUGAAGAAAGCAUAGAGGACAGCAGAGAAUCUAUUGCUACAGAGAUCAAGAGAUUAAGAAAUAGUCAUGAGGAGUUAAAAAUGGUAUAAAUAAGGUGCAAAAUAAAAUGUAGCUGGCCAUAGCAUGGAUUGAAGAGGCAGAGGAGAAAAUAGGUGAAUUAGAAGAUAAAAUUAUGGAAAAAGAGGAAGCUGAGAAAAAGACAGAUAAAAAAAUCCAGGAGUAUGAGGGGAGAAUGAGAGAACUAAGUGAUGCAAUCAAAUGGAAAAAUAUCCAUAUCAUGCGAAUUCCAGAAGAAGAAGAGAGAAAGGGGCUGAAGGUGGCUUGAACAAAUCAUAGCUGAGAACUUCCCUGACCUGGGGAAGGAAAAAGGCAUUGAAAUCCAAGAAGCACAGAGAACUCCCUUCAGACGUAACUUGAAUCGAUAUUCUGCACGACAUAUCAUAGUGAAAACGGCAAAAUACAAGGAUAAAGAGACAAUUCUGAAAGCAGAUAGGGAUAAACAGGCUGUAACUUACAAAGGUAGACACAUAAGAGUAGUGGCAGACCUAUCUACUGAAACUUAGGCCAGAAAGGAAUGGCAGGAAAUCUUCAAUGUGAUGAACAGAAAAAAAUAUGCAGCCGAGAAUCCUUUAUCCAGCAAGUCUGUCAUUCAGAAAAGAAGAAGAGAUAAAUGUUUUCCCAAACAAACAAAAACUUAAGGAAUUCAUCACCACUAAACCAGCCCUACAAGAGAUCCUAAGGGGGAGUACCAGAGACAUCACUACAAGCAUGAAACCUAUAGACAUCACAAUAACUCUAAACCCAUAUCUUUCAAUAAUAACAGUGAAUGUAAAUGGACUAAAUGCUCUAACCAAAAGACAUAAGGUAUCAGAAUUCAUUAAAAAAACAAA